RNAcentral lists this small RNA (1673 nucleotides) under Histoplasma capsulatum. RNAcentral's name for it is "hypothetical RNA". RNAcentral also lists the same sequence under 1 other name. Lineage: Eukaryota; Fungi; Ascomycota; Eurotiomycetes; Onygenales; Ajellomycetaceae. The record is from RNAcentral.
GCUCUCUAUCCUAUCUACGGAUGAUCCAUCAUCUCUUGCACUCAUAGGUUUUGAAUUUUUUUUGUCCAUCCUGUAGUUACCUUAUCGAUGAAAAGUAACCUAAUAACUUAUAGCGGGUAUUCAACUUCAAGUUCCUGCUUCCAUUCGACAUAAGGAAGAAAAAUAUAGGAAUAUUGAUCCAACAGUCUCUUCUUCUUGCUCGUUUCUUCGAUGAAGGAACAUUAAACGAAUACUGUAGGAGUGCUCCAAAUAUCUAUCAAGUUUGGAUGACCGGGGGAAGCGGUUAGGGCAGAGAUUCCUUAAGUGCCAUCACCGGAACAGCGAGCCUUCGUUUGAAGGCAUAUGUGCCUCGAGACGAUGAAGGGGAUGUUUGUUAUCUAUGUCUUAAACUCAACAUCGUCAGAAAGCCUCUUUUCAGCCUUCCGGCGCUGAUGAUGGCAUGACCGACACGCGGAGACGAGGAAAGUAACGUGGAUGAGCCUUUUGUCAAUGGCAAACAAUAAAUUGGCCUUGUUAGAUCCGAUUCCACACAGCAUGUUUAUGCUUGGCGUAAAUAUAUAUAUCUAUAUUUUUCCCUUUCUUACCAUUUCCGUUUCUCCCUAAACAAGGAACAAAAAAAGGAUGCAACGAGACGAGAGCACGUUCGAUUAUGGUUUUACUCACCCGUUCGUGGAGCAAAACGCGGCCGCAAGAAAUCGCCAGAUGACAGAACUCCUCUCCGCAGGGUUCCCGCAGAUGGAGGUCCACCGGCCCCUACUGCAAUUGAUCCAAUCCGCAUCGGAGAACGGCGAGAUGGACACAUAAAUUCCUCCCACGAUCGCAAACAGCCCCAGGAGUAAAUCAAGCGUGACGCCGACGGCCGGGUGGAUGCGGUCAUUUCCGACAAAGAAGCUUAAGCUGAGUGCUAUCAAGGACCAUAAUGCUGAGAUGGAAAACUAUAUUGAUUGUUUUUUUUAUUGUUGGUUUUGUAAUAUCGAUCAGCUGUCUGUGGCGCCUUGGUAUAUACGGGAUGGAUUGUGGUGGAAAGGGGGAGACUCUAACGUACGGAACAUAUCCCGAUUGUUUCGGCGAACGGGCCUGUAUCCGGUGAAGAUAAGACCCCAGUUGCCCAUCCGAGACCAAUGGCGCCGGUGAUAGAGAUGAGAGAGGCGGAAAUGCGCAGGAAUAGAAAGAUGGUGCUCGGUUUGCUCAUGGCUACUGCUGCUGCUUGAUUACGUGCGAUAGAUAUUUCGGAAGGAUGCGAAUCCCAGACGAUGUCUCCUCGUCGUCUUACAUGUAUGUACCCACCAAUUAAUUGAGGGAGGGGGAAUAAAGGUACUGUAAAUAAUUGAAAAUGUAGAGAAACAUAGGCAGUGUACUGUAUCGUGCACCGAAAGGACCAGGGGGAAGUCAAACCAACACACAAACCAAGUUCGAUCGGAAACACCUGAAUUGCACUGCAAGAAGAGAAAAACUCCUGCCUUCAUGGAUACAUACUGGAUCACAUUGUUUCUUGGGAAGAGAGGAGAAGGAAGUGAUAACCAUCGCCGCAUCUCUAGGGGCAGAGUCCUGCUAAAAAUACCACAGAAUUGCUCCACUAAUAAGUAUCCAGAGAGCCUUCGAGGGCACCAUAGGCCGUACAUACAUACGUCAUCAUCGGCACCGUGUUGGGCCUGUCAUCUGUCAUCUGUGGG